This 436-nucleotide ribosomal RNA is filed under the name uncultured bacterium. Its description in RNAcentral is "bacterial SSU rRNA". It matches the Rfam family "Bacterial small subunit ribosomal RNA", at positions 958 to 1392 of the family's 1533-position model. The record is from RNAcentral.
AACGCGAAGAACCUUACCUGGUCUUGACAUCCUACGGACAUUCCCAGAGAUGGAUUUGUGCCUUCGGGAACCGAGAGACAGGUGCUGCGUGGCUGUCGUCAGCUCGUGUCGUGAGAUGUUGGGUUAUGUCCCGCAACGAGCGCAACCCUUGUCCUUAUUUGCCAGCGCUUAAUGGUGGGCACUCUAGGGAGACUGCCGGUGACAAACCGGAGGAAGGUGGGGAUGACGUCAAGUCAUCAUGGCCCUUACGAUGGGGGCUACACACGUACUACAAUGGUGGGGACAGAGGGGUGCAAACCCGCGAGGUGGAGCCAAUCCCAAAAACCCUCUCUCAGUCCGGAUUGCCGUCUGCAACUCGACUACCUGAAGUCGGAAUCGCUAGUACUCGCAGAUCAGCAUGCUGCGGUGAAUACUUUCCCGGGCCUUGUACACACCG